RNAcentral lists this small RNA (794 nucleotides) under Malus domestica (apple). RNAcentral describes it as "sRNA MD02G0128600". Lineage: Eukaryota; Viridiplantae; Streptophyta; Magnoliopsida; Rosales; Rosaceae. The record is from RNAcentral.
AUGUUUCACCUAACAUUCCAUCCAAUAAAGACAAAUUCAAGUGGAUUAGUGAUCAACCUUCCAGUCACUUUUACAACAAGUAUAAACACUUUGAGAAUGAAUGAAUAUGUUUUUAGUGUUUCAUAAGUCAUUCAAAUCAUCAAAACAAAAGGUUAUGCAUACGUAUCGGACCACGCGAUUAAGCUCUUCAGUUUCAGGGACUGCUGCUCCACCACUUAAGGAAUCGCAGCGUUGAAAUUCUCGCCACUGUUGCUCUGGUCCAGGCUAUCCGAGAAGCCCAGAACCCACCAGGAAAUCUCGAUUGCAGCCACUGUGCCCCAGGAGGACAUUGAACUGGCAAUCAACAAAUGCUUCUGCACGCGUAGGAACCACAUUAGCAUCUCCGCAGCCGCAAUUUAUUUAGCCUGCCAGCUUGAAGACGAGAAAAACUCGGGCAGAGAUUUGUAAGGUGACUGGUCUUGCUAGAGUCCCUCUCCGAAAAGUCCACAAGCAUCUCUUGGAGAACUGGGAGGACUUGCUCCCAUCUAAUUACGCUCCUGCCGAGCAUUCCCUACCACUGUAGUCGCUUCAGCUCGUUCUUCGGCCUCUAAAGUUGAUUUUGUUGAUAUACCAAAUGUGGGCUUAGACAUGAACGUGUAAGGUUUUCUUUGGUGAGCAUGAUCAAACACUAAGUCAUGCAGUAACACAAGUAAUAUGAGCUAUAUAUUUUAAGACUUGAUGUAGGGUUGUAACCGGAUACCAACCAUUUGGAGGGAAAAAUAUAAGAAACUAAUUUGAAAUUAGAAUGAUGCGGU